AAACCGCCAUAGGUGAGAGGAUCUGGAAUGACCUCUCGCCGAAAGAUGCACACGGGGACGCCUGUGUGCAUGCCUCAGGAUGGGGCUGCGGCCCAUCAGGUAGUUGGUGGGGUAACGGCCCACCAAGCCUAUAACGGGUACGGGCCCUGAGAGGGGGAGCCCGGAGAUGGACUCUGAGACAAGAGUCCAGGCCCUACGGGGCGCAGCAGGCGCGAAACCUCCGCAAUGCGCUCACGCGUGACGGGGUCACCCCGAGUGCCACCCUCGUGGUGGCUUUUGCGCAGUGUAAACAGCUGCGCGAAUAAGCGGGGGGCAAGACGGGUGUCAGCCGCCGCGGUAAUACCCGCUCCGCGAGUGGUGAGGACUAUUACUGGGCUUAAAGCGUCCGUAGCCGGCUCGGCGUGCUCCGCGUUAAAUCCAGCAGCCUAACUGCUGGGCCGCGCGGAAGACUGCCGGGCUUGGGGGUGGGAGAGGGCAGCGGUAUUCCCGGGGUAGGGGUAAAAUCCACUGAUCCCGGGAGGACCACCAGUGGCGAAGGCGGCUGCCCAGAACACGCCCGACGGUGAGGGACGAAAGCUGGGGGAGCGAUCGGGAUUAGAUACCCCGGUAGUCCCAGCCGUAAACGAUGCGGGCUUGGCGUCGGAGCGGCUACGAGCCGUUCCGGUGCAGAAGGGAAACCAUUAAGCCCGCCGCCUGGGGAGUACGGCCGCAAGGCUGAAACUUAAAGGAAUGGAGGGUGAUCUGGGUAGGGGGCGCAUGCGUAGACAUAUGAUGAUGUUUGUUAUGCUAUCGGUGCUCUCCGCGAUGGAAGCAUAGAGAUACGCUUAGGCAAGAACUAUGAAAUAAGAUAUAAUCAACGUUAUCUAUCAUUUGACCAAGUAAAUUAU
RNAcentral lists this ribosomal RNA (887 nucleotides) under uncultured archaeon. RNAcentral describes it as "bacterial SSU rRNA". It matches the Rfam family "Archaeal small subunit ribosomal RNA", at positions 148 to 1134 of the family's 1478-position model. The record is from RNAcentral.